UACGAAGGGGGCUAGCGUUGCUCGGAAUCACUGGGCGUAAAGCGCACGUAGGCGGAUUGUUAAGUCAGGGGUGAAAUCCUGGAGCUCAACUCCAGAACUGCCUUUGAUACUGGCGAUCUCGAGUCCGGGAGAGGUGAGUGGAACUGCGAGUGUAGAGGUGAAAUUCGUAGAUAUUCGCAAGAACACCAGAGGCGAAGGCGGCUCACUGGCCCGGUACUGACGCUGAGGUGCGAAAGCGUGGGGAGCAAACAGG
This 253-nucleotide ribosomal RNA is filed under the name uncultured bacterium. Its description in RNAcentral is "partial 16S ribosomal RNA". It matches the Rfam family "Bacterial small subunit ribosomal RNA", at positions 524 to 776 of the family's 1533-position model. The record is from RNAcentral.